AAAAAUUUAGUUAAUAAAAAUAACAUUAGUUUGUCAAACUAAAAUAAUUUCCUAAGAAAUAAUUUUUA
RNAcentral lists this transfer RNA (68 nucleotides) under Onthophagus vacca. RNAcentral describes it as "tRNA-Asp". Lineage: Eukaryota; Metazoa; Arthropoda; Insecta; Coleoptera; Scarabaeidae. The record is from RNAcentral.